Molecule: microRNA precursor, 72 nt
Filed under: Erinaceus europaeus (western European hedgehog)
Lineage: Eukaryota; Metazoa; Chordata; Mammalia; Eulipotyphla; Erinaceidae
Description: miRNA (ENSEEUG00000022262.1)
Source: RNAcentral
CUUCCUUCAUGUCCCUGUUCAGGUGCCACCUGCAACGGACCGCUCAAGCAGAGGAGCAGCAGAAAGGAUCAG